UAUUCGAAAGAAGGUAGGAAGUGGGACGUCUACGUUUAGCGUUCGCAAUUACACUCUACGAAAUAAGAAAAUUCCCUUAUAGAAAGAUGGUGGCGAUAAAAUCGUUUAUUCGUUGGUAACAUUGUGCGCGUGGACAAAUCCAUCGUGAUGACAGUUUCGAGCGGUGACAGUCGCGUACGUGUUUGUCGGGCUAAGAGAAGCGUUCCUUCCUAUUCCGUUAGUUAGUAAGAGCCACUUUCAUCGUUUCGUCUAACGCUCCGUCAUUUAAUGAGUUAUCAACGGAAUACGAAUCGUGCCGGAGGUGUGAUGGUAAUGGGAAUUGAACAAUAUAACUUUAUCAUGGUAAUACUGAUGAUCAAUUAUAAUUAUUUAAUAUUACAAUAUAAUGAACAGGAUUUUAUUGAGGAG
Molecule: long non-coding RNA, 408 nt
Filed under: Polistes fuscatus (common paper wasp)
Lineage: Eukaryota; Metazoa; Arthropoda; Insecta; Hymenoptera; Vespidae
Description: uncharacterized LOC122517484
Source: RNAcentral